RNAcentral lists this small RNA (2802 nucleotides) under Oryza sativa Japonica Group (Japanese rice). RNAcentral's name for it is "misc RNA P0699H05.10-1". The record is from RNAcentral. Lineage: Eukaryota; Viridiplantae; Streptophyta; Magnoliopsida; Poales; Poaceae.
GGGCGGCGGGCCUAUCCAACUACGGAAGCAAUCAAGCUAGCCACGCCGGCGGCUUUGCAAGUUCGCAUGGCCGCAUUCCCAACUCGACGGCGGGAACUGACUGCUCGCCGCCGCCCGGUCAGCAUCUAGCCAUCCAGGGUAAUGGUAGUUGGAAAAGACCGAUCAAUCUUGCUUGCUGCGGCUGUAAUAACCCAAGGAGCUGUAUUGAAAAUAACUUGUGGUCGAGGGCCAUCGUUUCCCCCAGCAUAAACAAUGGUAAUCCCCUUCUGGACUGCAUGGAGUGCACCAAAUGAAUCCUCAUCAGCAUGAAUUGAGAGGGACAGGAUAUCAACUCCAUCAUGAAUUGCAUCAUCUAGAGCUGCUAGCACUCCGGCACUAGCAAGCUGUAGGCUAUUCCCUGUGUUCCAUAUGACCUUAUACACAGCAAGACGUGCUCGGGGUGCACCUCCACGGGCUACUCCUGUUGCUAGGCCAUGGACGCUGACUCCAUCUACCACUGCACCAGCUGCUAUGGAUGCUGUAUGCGUUCCAUGCCCGAUCAUGUCCCGGGCAGACAUGUAAUUCUUCUUAAAGUCAGCUUUUUCUAUACCUGCAGCAUAGUACCGUGCACCAAUGAUUUUCCUGCUGCAGUUGGUUGGCCCCCAGGCCUGUCCUAGUUGACACACGCCCUUCCAUCGUGAUGGUAUUGAAGUUUAUUGGGUGGUUGGUAGUUCAGUCCGAGGAAAUCCCAACUUCUUGUGGUCAGCAAUUCAUGUUGCUUAUUUGGGGUAACACUGAUCACUUCAGUGUGGGAGUCAGACCUACUGUCGCCAUCAUGGGAUUCAGGUAACCGCAUCAACAGCAAUUGCAGCUGGUCAAAGCAGUAGCUAUUCAAUCCUAGGAACGUUUUAGGAUCAUUUGGUCAUUAGGAUUUGAUUAGUUACAUUCUCACAAUGAUAGUUGCUUUCCUUAUCUUUAUACUUCUCUGUUUAUGAAGAGAUGUUCACAGUGAAAAACAACUAGGCAAGGAAGAAUAAACAAAGUCUCUAAUCUUCUUCCCAGUUCAGCAAUAAACCUCAAAGCUUCUGUACUGCAGUUGGGAAGAAUUCUGCCGGUGGUUAGAUGGAAGUGAGCGUCCUACCCUUGGUCUCAACUCUCAAACCCAUACCAUGCACAUAACAAACAUGACUGGUAAAUUUAGCACUGAGUUAGUCAAGUUAACUUUUGUUAGCUAAACUCAGUUCACCUGCAAGAUUAUCUGCUUGCUCCUCUGUUAGCAUUGCUGCAAAGCCUGAGAAGCCAUGUUUGUAGCUGUAAGCAAUGGAGGCCAGCGCCUCUUCCUUGCUGAAACAAAGUGGUAAGCCAUGAGAAACAACACCGAACAUGUUUAUAGUUAGUUAUAAAAUGAAGUGUUUGGAGUUGUUGAAGCAAAUAGGCAGCUCAUAAAAUAAUAUUGGUGUUGAGAAGGUAAGAACUAAAACACCCCAAAGCAAAUAAACUCCUUAGAUUACCUUCCAAGAACGCUGGUGAGCAUGUCAUGGUGUGAGGCAGUGACAAGAGUAGGGUCAUCAUAUUUCUUCUCGCCCAGAUAGGCAAUGUACAACUAUGCAUAUAUAGAGAAGCAGAGAAAACAUCUUUGACCACCAAAUCUGCAUACAAAAUAAGAUGUAGGGUGAUGCACUGUGCAUACCUUGCGAGAUCCAUAUAUUCCUCUGAUCAUCAAAAGCCAUACACAAAAUAGGAGGAAAGCUGGAAAGCGCUGAAAUGGAGAGUGCAGAAUCAUGUUGGGACUUCUUAUACAUCAGUAUGAUCUAGUAGGUAUUGGUAUUUAUAGGUCUUUAGGUCUUGCUUGGUGGCUUCUGUCCAUGUCCAGAAAGAAAUGUGACACUCACAUUUGUUCAAUGAAUUAAAUGUGGCACUCAAAUUCGUUCAAUGAAUUCGAUCGCUGAAUGUUUAUGUCUACUAGUCUAGGGUCACAACGUAAGACAAAAUGUCAUAUGUUUUGCUGUUCAUUUUCUUCUUGUCCAAGUGUCCUCCCUGGGUUUUCUCUAGUAGGGGAUUCCCUGGAAUUUUCUGCCAAACUAGCUUAACUCAUGGUCAUGGGUUGUAUUUCUCCGUGCUACCACCUCCAGCUUAUCUUGCAUGAGUACUUUUCGUUUAUCUUGGUUAUGCUAGUCUUUUUUUUUAAAAAAAAAUCAGAUAUUCAGAGUGAGAAGCAUGGAGGCUAGAAUUUAUUCAUCUAUACGUCAAUAACUCAACAAAUUGAAUAUUCGGAGGCAAAGUGGAACAAAAUUCCAGGAGAUGCUACUAUGGUUUACAGUUUACACUAGCAAACACGAAGCAGUGGAGCCCAGGAGCCCCCUGAUUUGCUAUAAUGGUUUCUCAAUCAGCGGGGAAUUUUGACUCUUCUGUUCUCCCCGUGCCAUUGCACAUCAUUAUGUGGAGUCGUCUUCCGCGUUUGUUCGUUUAACUGAUGGAGACUAGACGGCUAGAGUGCUGAUUCGUGCAAGUUUAGUCUUACAAGACGUCGCUGCUUUCUGAUCUUUUGUUUAUCUGGAAGAAAAGGGUACAGGUAAGCUCAUAUAACUCUAAUACUUCUGGAUAAUAUGGAGAUGAUCAGACUUUUGCAUUCGAGUGCUGAUCCAUUGGCGCUUCGCUUCCAUGUGGGUGCUGCCGGCUGACUGAAGCCAUUUGUCUUAGGCGUAUUGGAUUGGUCUGGUUUAAGGAACUAACGAAAUUUUGUAGUGCCAGGUAGAGAUGGAAAAUAUGUGUUUGAUUUGAUGCACAUUGUAUUAUUGUCAGAUAAAUGGAUGAGUAUUACCC